This 29-nucleotide non-coding RNA is filed under the name Mus musculus (house mouse). Lineage: Eukaryota; Metazoa; Chordata; Mammalia; Rodentia; Muridae. The record is from RNAcentral.
UNUAUGUUGAGCCUCAGCUGUUCUUGCAC